AAAUUGAAGAGUUUGAUCAUGGCUCAGAUUGAACGCUGGCGGCAGGCCUAACACAUGCAAGUCGAACGGUAACAGGAAGCAGCUUGCUGCUUUGCUGACGAGUGGCGGACGGGUGAGUAAUGUCCGGGAAACUGCCUGAUGGAGGGGGAUAACUACUGGAAACGGUAGCUAAUACCGCAUAA
Molecule: ribosomal RNA, 182 nt
Filed under: Escherichia coli
Lineage: Bacteria; Pseudomonadati; Pseudomonadota; Gammaproteobacteria; Enterobacterales; Enterobacteriaceae
Description: partial 16S ribosomal RNA
Rfam family: Bacterial small subunit ribosomal RNA
Source: RNAcentral